GAGAUCGGGAUAACACCUGGAAACAGAUGCUAAUACCGGAUAACAACAGAUGAUGCCUAUCAACUGUUUAAAAGAUGGUUCUGCUAUCACUCUUGGAUGGACCUGCGGUGCAUUAGCUAGUUGGUAGGGUAACGGCCUACCAAGGCGAUGAUGCAUAGCCGAGUUGAGAGACUGAUCGGCCACACUGGGACUGAGACACGGCCCAAACUCCUACGGGAGGCAGCAGUG
This 228-nucleotide ribosomal RNA is filed under the name uncultured Lactobacillus sp. RNAcentral's name for it is "partial 16S ribosomal RNA". It matches the Rfam family "Bacterial small subunit ribosomal RNA", at positions 134 to 356 of the family's 1533-position model. The record is from RNAcentral. Lineage: Bacteria; Bacillati; Bacillota; Bacilli; Lactobacillales; Lactobacillaceae.